This 254-nucleotide ribosomal RNA is filed under the name uncultured bacterium. RNAcentral describes it as "partial 16S ribosomal RNA". It matches the Rfam family "Bacterial small subunit ribosomal RNA", at positions 524 to 777 of the family's 1533-position model. The record is from RNAcentral.
UACGGGGGGUGCGAGCGUUAAUCGGAAUUACUGGGCGUAAAGGGUGCGUAGGUGGUUUAAUAAGUUAUGUGUGAAAUUCCUGGGCUUAACCUGGGACUGUCAGAUAAGACUGUUAGACUCGAGUAUGGGAGAGGGUAGUGGAAUUUCCGGUGUAGCGGUGAAAUGCGUAGAGAUCGGAAGGAACACCGGUGGCGAAGGCGGCUACCUGGCCUAAUACUGACACUGAGGCACGAAAGCGUGGGGAGCAAACAGGG